RNAcentral lists this long non-coding RNA (623 nucleotides) under Lathyrus oleraceus (garden pea). Its description in RNAcentral is "Pisum sativum (pea) long non-coding RNA (PSAT_LNC024097)". Lineage: Eukaryota; Viridiplantae; Streptophyta; Magnoliopsida; Fabales; Fabaceae. The record is from RNAcentral.
UCAUGGUUUGACCAAAGGUAUUUCCCCAGUAGUACGAUUCUGGGGGAGGUUUCUGUCGUGCGAGACAGAUGGUGAAAGUGUUGCUCUGAGGAGUGUGGUACCAUGACGUCAGAUCAGCAGUGUUCCCCAGUAGUGCGAUAUUGGAGGAAAUGUUUCUGUCGGACAGAGAUGGAAAUGAUAUCAGAAGACGUUACGCGAUCAGCGCGAUUCCGGGGUUCAAAUGGAGAAAAGGAGAUGUUGCGACAUUUUCUGGAGAUCGGGGUUCAAUCAGAGAAGAGUAUAUGCUGAGGCAUUUUCUGGGGUUCAAAUGGAGAUUGGAGUUGAAGAUUAUAUCCAGGAUGAAGUCCGCAGGAUUAUCUUCUGUUCAUGUGUCACCGUAGACUCAGGCUGAGGCCAAUGGAGGUCGUUAAAGGUGUCUUCUGAGGAAGAGUUACACAUGUUACCUUCUUUAUGAAGGUGUACCCUCUGACAUGUCGCCCUCAGAGUGGUUUGGUGUUAUUUCCGACGUUGCCAGCGGAAUUAUCACGAGAGAUUGGAGAAAAGGAUAUGCUGAGGCAUUUCCUGGGGUUCAAAUGGAGAAAGGAUAUGCUGAGGCAUUUUCCGGGGUUCAAAUGGAGAAAGGG